This 949-nucleotide ribosomal RNA is filed under the name uncultured Burkholderiaceae bacterium. RNAcentral describes it as "bacterial SSU rRNA". It matches the Rfam family "Bacterial small subunit ribosomal RNA", at positions 57 to 1001 of the family's 1533-position model. Lineage: Bacteria; Pseudomonadati; Pseudomonadota; Betaproteobacteria; Burkholderiales; Burkholderiaceae. The record is from RNAcentral.
GCAAGUCGAACGGCAGCACGGGUGCUUGCACCUGGUGGCGAGUGGCGAACGGGUGAGUAAUAUAUCGGAACGUACCUUAUCGUGGGGGAUAACGCAGCGAAAGCUGCGCUAAUACCGCAUACGCCCUGAGGGGGAAAGCGGGGGACCGUAAGGCCUCGCGCGAUUAGAGCGGCCGAUAUCUGAUUAGCUUGUUGGUGGGGUAAAAGCCCACCAAGGCGACGAUCAGUAGCUGGUCUGAGAGGACGAUCAGCCACACUGGGACUGAGACACGGCCCAGACUCCUACGGGAGGCAGCAGUGGGGAAUUUUGGACAAUGGGGGCAACCCUGAUCCAGCAAUGCCGCGUGAGUGAAGAAGGCCUUCGGGUUGUAAAGCUCUUUUGUCAGGGAAGAAACAGCAGCUCUAACACAGUCUGCGAAUGACGGUACCUGAAGAAUAAGCACCGGCUAACUACGUGCCAGCAGCCGCGGUAAUACGUAGGGUGCAAGCGUUAAUCGGAAUUACUGGGCGUAAAGCGUGCGCAGGCGGUUAUACAAGACAGGCGUGAAAUCCCCGGGCUUAACCUGGGAAUGGCGUCUGUGACUAUAUGACUAGAGUGUGUCAGAGGGGGGUAGAAUUCCACGUGUAGCAGUGAAAUGCGUAGAUAUGUGGAGGAAUACCAAUGGCGAAGGCAGCCCCCUGGGAUAACACUGACGCUCAUGCACGAAAGCGUGGGGAGCAAACAGGAUUAGAUACCCUGGUAGUCCACGCCCUAAACGAUGCCGACUAGUUGUUGGGAAUUUACAUUCUCAGUAACGUAGCUAACGCGUGAAGUCGGCCGCCUGGGGAGUACGGUCGCAAGAUUAAAACUCAAAGGAAUUGACGGGGACCCGCACAAGCGGUGGAUGAUGUGGAUUAAUUCGAUGCAACGCGAAAAACCUUACCUACCCUUGACAUGUCACUAACGAAGU